GAUGAACGCUGGCGGCGUGCCUAAUACAUGCAAGUCGAGCGAACGGACGAGAAGCUUGCUUCUCUGAUGUUAGCGGCGGACGGGUGAGUAACACGUGGAUAACCUACCUAUAAGACUGGGAUAACUUCGGGAAACCGGAGCUAAUACCGGAUGAUAUUUUGAACCGCAUGGUUCAAAAGUGAAAGACGGUCUUGCUGUCACUUAUAGAUGGAUCCGCGCUGCAUUAGCUAGUUGGUAAGGUAAUGGCUUACCAAGGCAACGAUGCAUAGCCGACCUGAGAGGGUGAUCGGCCACACGGGAACUGAGACACGGUCCAGACUCCUACGGGAGGCAGCAGUAGGGAAUCUUCCGCAAUGGGCGAAAGCCUGACGGAGCAACGCCGCGUGAGUGAUGAAGGUCUUCGGAUCGUAAAACUCUGUUAUUAGGGAAGAACAUAUGUGUAAGUAACUGUGCACAUCUUGACGGUACCUAAUCAGAAAGCCACGGCUAACUACGUG
RNAcentral lists this ribosomal RNA (497 nucleotides) under uncultured bacterium. RNAcentral's name for it is "partial 16S ribosomal RNA". It matches the Rfam family "Bacterial small subunit ribosomal RNA", at positions 28 to 507 of the family's 1533-position model. The record is from RNAcentral.